This 1349-nucleotide unclassified non-coding RNA is filed under the name Centruroides sculpturatus (bark scorpion). RNAcentral's name for it is "putative methyltransferase DDB_G0268948, transcript variant X1". The record is from RNAcentral. Lineage: Eukaryota; Metazoa; Arthropoda; Arachnida; Scorpiones; Buthidae.
UUUUGAAUUAUCCUGCUGAGGUCAUUAAUCCUCGGUACGUGAUAAAAUAUAGUAUAUCGACUCAUUUACAUCAGCCUUUAUCAUCAUGAAUGAGAAACAUCUCGGACAUCAGUUUCUUGACAUUAGAAACCACAGAUAAGAUAUACGAACGAAUUGACAAUUUUCUUAUCCCUCUUACCUUAGCGUCACCGAUUAAACAUGGCAGAAAGAGGGUUCGAAAGGCUAGAACAAGCUUCUGCAUACGCAAAGUUUCGCCCUUCUCCUCCUCAAUUCAUCACUGAUAAAAUACUGAAAUAUUUAGAAGAGAAGAUUAAUCCUCCUUAUGAACAUGUAUUGGAUGUGGGAUGUGGAACGGGGCAAAGUUCUAUUGUAUGGAAACCAUAUUUUCGUAACAUUACCGGGUGUGACAUCAGUUCCGCUCAAAUUGAAGAAGCCAGAAAGAAAAGUUCGUUUGAAAAUGUGAAUUUCAUUAUUUGUCCUUCGGAAAAAAUUCCUUUUCCCGAUAAUUCAGUUCAGAUGAUAUCUGUAGUUACAGCUCUCCAUUGGUUCGAUAUAGAAGAAUUUUUCAAAGAAGCAAAGAGAUUAUUGAUCAGAAAUGGUGUUUUAGCCGUUCAGAAUUAUCAUACAGUUAGGGUGAAAUUCGAUACAGAUGAGAAAACUUCUUUAGGAAAUGCUAUCCUGAAAGAGCUAAUGUAUGAUAAAUUACACGAAUAUAUGUCGAAAAACGUUAUAAAUUCCGUUAAUGAAUUUUCUUCUAUCAAUUUUCCGUUUUGCGAUGUUGUCAGGCAUACUGGAAUAAAAGAUAGUAUUGAAGUAACGGUGGAUUAUGUCAUCGGUUUCUUUUUCUCUUUCUCUCGCUAUCAAACUUUCAAAGAACGUCAACCAGAAAAAGCCGAAUCUGUGUUGAAACAAUUACAAGAAAGACUUUUGGAAUUGGCUGGAGGAGAAAAUGGAAAAUUUAGACUGGAGCGAAAUUGUUAUUUAAUUUUAUGUAGAAAUGUUUAAAAAAAGUAUUUAAACGAUCAUAAAUUAACACAUUUAGUUGCCAUUAUUUACAUAUAAGUUUUUGUUUUGGAGUGAAGAAAAUGUUGCUCUUGAGAGAAUGAUUACUUGAUUCGAGGAAAGUGGACAUCUGGGAGUUCGAUCGAAGUUGCAAACCUAUCACUUCCUUGCAUUUCCUACAGAUUCGCCCAUUGGACUGCAUCAGUUUCAACUUUUAGUAUUUAAUAAUUAAGAAACUUCUAAUUGCGGAUUGUAUCAAACUCAAUUUAUUCAAAAGCAACGCAUCACGAUCUCUCUUCUGAAGCAUUCUCCAAUAAAACAUGGCUCUAAUAAAAAUUCAUUCGUAC